RNAcentral lists this ribosomal RNA (697 nucleotides) under Halomonas sp. VKRKHg2. RNAcentral's name for it is "bacterial SSU rRNA". It matches the Rfam family "Bacterial small subunit ribosomal RNA", at positions 31 to 718 of the family's 1533-position model. Lineage: Bacteria; Pseudomonadati; Pseudomonadota; Gammaproteobacteria; Oceanospirillales; Halomonadaceae. The record is from RNAcentral.
GGAGGCUGGGCUGCUGGCCUAACACUUGCACGUCGAGCGGAAACGAUGGAAGCUUGCUUCCAGGCGUCGAGCGGCGGACGGGUGAGUAAUGCAUGGGAAUCUGCCCGAUAGUGGGGGAUAACCUGGGGAAACUCAGGCUAAUACCGCAUACGUCCUACGGGAGAAAGCAGGGGAUCUUCGGACCUUGCGCUAUCGGAUGAGCCCAUGUCGGAUUAGCUUGUUGGUGGGGUAAUGGCCUACCAAGGCGACGAUCCGUAGCUGGUCUGAGAGGAUGAUCAGCCACAUCGGGACUGAGACACGGCCCGAACUCCUACGGGAGGCAGCAGUGGGGAAUAUUGGACAAUGGGCGAAAGCCUGAUCCAGCCAUGCCGCGUGUGUGAAGAAGGCCUUCGGGUUGUAAAGCACUUUCAGUGAGGAAGAACGCCUCUGGCCUAAUACGUCAGAGGGAAGACAUCACUCACAGAAGAAGCACCGGCUAACUCCGUGCCAGCAGCCGCGGUAAUACGGAGGGUGCGAGCGUUAAUCGGAAUUACUGGGCGUAAAGCGCGCGUAGGUGGCUUGAUAAGCCGGUUGUGAAAGCCCCGGGCUCAACCUGGGAAUGGCAUCCGGAACUGUCAGGCUAGAGUGCAGGAGAGGAAGGUAGAAUUCCCGGUGUAGCGGUGAAAUGCGUAGAGAUCGGGAGGAAUACCAGUGGCGA